AAUAACCGGGAAAGAAAAGAUAUGAGAAGAACACAGGGAUUGCCCUAGUAACGGCGAGUGAAGCGGCAACAGCUCAAAUUUGAAAUCUGGCUUCGGCCCGAGUUGUAAUUUGCAGAGGAUGCUUCUGGCGCGGUGCCUUCCGAGUUCCCUGGAACGGGACGCCACAGAGGGUGAGAGCCCCGUAUGGUCGGACACCAAGCCUGUGUGAAGCUCCUUCGACGAGUCGAGUAGUUUGGGAAUGCUGCUCUAAAUGGGAGGUAAAUCUCUUCUAAAGCUAAAUACCGGCCAGAGACCGAUAGCGCACAAGUAGAGUGAUCGAAAGAUGAAAAGCACCUUGAAAAGGGGGUUAAAUAGUACGUGAAAUUGUUGAAAGGGAAGCGUUUAUGACCAGACUUGCGCCGGGCGGCUCAUCAGGGGUUCUCCCCUGUGCAUUCCGCCCGGCUCAGGCCAGCAUCGGUUCUCGUGGGGGGAUAAGACCGUCGGGAACGUAGCACCCUCCGGGGUGUGUUAUAGCCCGGCGGACGAUACCCUCGUGGGGACCGAGGUUCGCGCUCCGCAAGGAUGCUGGCGUAAUGGUCAUCAGCGACCCGUCUUGAAACACGGACCAAGGAGUCGUCCAUUAGAGCGAGCGUUUGGGUGUAAAACCCGCACGCGUAAUGAAAGUGAACGCAGGUGAGAGCUUCGGCGCAUCAUCGACCGAUCCUGAUGUUCUCGGAAGGAUUUGAGUAAGAGUUUUAACGGACGGACCCGAAAGACAGUGAACUAUGCUU
This 770-nucleotide ribosomal RNA is filed under the name Diaporthe amygdali. RNAcentral describes it as "partial large subunit ribosomal RNA". It matches the Rfam family "Eukaryotic large subunit ribosomal RNA", at positions 1 to 838 of the family's 3401-position model. The record is from RNAcentral. Lineage: Eukaryota; Fungi; Ascomycota; Sordariomycetes; Diaporthales; Diaporthaceae.